GUACGGGGGGGACUAACGUUGUUCGGAUUUACUGGGCGUAAAGGGUGCGUAGGCGGACCUUCAAGUCGGAUGUGAAAACUAUAGGCUCAACUUAUAGCUUGCAUUCGAUACUGUCGGUCUUGAGUUAAUUAGAGGAAUGUGGAAUUCCAGGUGUAGCGGUGAAAUGCGUAGAUAUCUGGAGGAACACCAGUAGCGAAGGCGACAUUCUGGGAUUAUACUGACGCUGAAGCACGAAGGCUAGGGGAGCAAACAGGAUUAGAAACCCUAGUAGUCC
RNAcentral lists this ribosomal RNA (274 nucleotides) under uncultured bacterium. RNAcentral's name for it is "partial 16S ribosomal RNA". It matches the Rfam family "Bacterial small subunit ribosomal RNA", at positions 523 to 796 of the family's 1533-position model. The record is from RNAcentral.